UCUACACAAUUGAUUAAUUGGUCAAAAGUACAGCAGAUAACUGAAACAAUCCUGCAAAUGGUGAUAGAAUCAACAAAUUCAGGACAAAUACUCAUUACU
This is a long non-coding RNA of Thalassophryne amazonica, 99 nucleotides long. RefSeq lists it as uncharacterized. Lineage: Eukaryota; Metazoa; Chordata; Actinopteri; Batrachoidiformes; Batrachoididae. The transcript is spliced from 4 exons. The record is from RefSeq and is a predicted model, not a curated record.